CCCUUGCGUGCUCAGCCUCCUCCUGACAUCAAUGCUCGAAUCUGAAAUCCGUCUCUAUGAGUGACCUGCUGGAUAUGAAGAUGGUGUGUGUGUUCCUUUGCUACUGGUUCCCUUUUUUUGGUUCUUCCAUUUAAUUCUUUGUUGAUCUGUGUAGGCAAAUAGGUCAUUCCUCUGAUCCUAAUUCCGUUGGGCCAUCUUUACCUGUAUCCUUUAGCUAUGUUUAUCCUCCAUUUUCAGGAUGGUUCUUCUUCAGAUGGUGUCAGGUAGUUCGUCUUUCCAUGUCCUUUCUUUUUGUGAAUGUUGUUGUGCCUAAAGAUUUGUUCAACAACGAGUUGGGAUUUCAAUGUACAUUUCUCUUGCUUUUUUGUAAUCUUACAACUGGGGAUAUUAAUCCUAGGUGAGCACAUACAACAUAUAUUAUUGUUGUGUAUUAUUAUGUCAGCCUGUAAUGACCUUUGAUUACCAAUUUACCAUGCAUAAGGAGACAUGACUAUUCACAAGGAUAAAUGAUGUGACAUACAAGAACUUGGAUUCGAUAGAGUAGCAAAGAGCAAACUUGAAAUUGUUUGUACCUGCACUUAAACACGCGGUUUGAUUGAGAAAUAUCGGCACCAGGUUAAAAAACAAAUAGUAAUAGAAUGGUAGGCCGUAGAGGCUCUGAAGUAGUAAAAGCCCUUAAAGUUGGAUGCACAAGCAUCGAUUGGGUACACCAACGGAGAAUAAACCUAGGUAAUUUUUCGGAGCAUGUAAUAUCGAGUUCUAAUUCAAAAACAUGGUUGCGCCUUAGCCUUUUUUCACCAUCUUCAACUGUAAAUGUGUCGUAUCAGAAAGUUCGAUUUCCAAUGGGCGAUAUCAGUUUUUGGUACAUUGUUAGAAACAGAGGUAUCUUAGUUCCCGGUACGCCCAUGGCGUUUUCUUUCCUUUUGUUGUCUCGCAAAAGGAAACCCAACACUUCUCACUGAAAUUAUGCAGCUGAAAGGCAUAUGAAAGAAUUCAAAAUACACAGUUAGUGUAUGCGUGUGCUUGCUAAGGUACUUACUUCUUUAUCUCAGGUAUGAGCAUGUUUAUUUGCAGGUGCUUAUACACAACCUUUAUCUGGUAUUGGUUAUCCGGUUGUGUUAAUGAGCCUUGGUUAUCUGAUUUGCUCUCGGGCCUAGCUACAUUCACCCAAUGGGUUCUUGAUGUGGGCAAUGGUAAAGCCUAUUGACACAAAAGAAGAAGCAUGUGUCUUAUGGAUUUCUAUACCCUCUAACAUGGUAUUAAGGCCGACCUUUGACCAUAUUCUCCCUGUAGUUGAUGCUAUCCAUAACUCAUUUACUGACUUUUUUCUAAUGCUUCAUUCCUAGCACAUCAGCCAAUUGUUUGUCCUACCAACAACUUAGCUAAUGCAAUAAAUUAUGUGGUUUUCUCUAACGUACCUAAAAUUGCUACACAAUUGACCGUGUUCAUAGCAUCUACCAAAAAUGGAUCAUACCGGUGAUGUCAAUCUAUUAUUCAUCUCUUAUGCAUAACUGAAUCCCUGUAAGUUCUACCGAGUACCCGAGAUUGUUAUCCAUCUUUUCGGAUCCAUCUAAAUUGGUCAUUUUGACUAUUUCAGAGAUAGAGUGUACUUAUUUUUGCUGAAUUGUAUCCGAUUGGUUUCCUGUUGCAUUAUAGGAUAUUUAAACUCUAAAUGUUAAAUAUUUCACUCACUUUUACCUGGAAAAUAACAAAAUAACCACCAUUCCAUUAUUGAUGGCAGUGAAGUGAUUGCAGACUACACAUGUCGCAGCUUAUGACAGGCUUGAUACUGAUGAGGGAUCUCCCCCUCUAUCCUAUGGCGCGCCCUUGACCUACUGCUCCAGGGCAGUUUUGUCUAGCGGCGGCACAGAUAUGCCAUUCUCUGCUAACAUGUAUGAGCUUAUUUAGGCUUCAGCCAUCUUCGCAUUGGAGCAUGACGCCGAUGCUCGCCUUGGACAUCAGAAUGGAAGUCGCCAUAUUUUUACUGUUUGCAUAUUUUUAUUUUACUUUUACAAUUUGGCCACCAUGUCUUUAUUUCCCCAUGUUCCAUGUAUAUCAAUUUUUUUUUGCUUCAAUUCGUAGUUGAUUGAGGAAUAUUUAACAAGAAUAUAAAACAUUGAAAUCUCACCAGUUGUGUUUGGUAUAGAUCAGAGUUUGCAGUUUAUAUUCCCUUUUGUUCCUUCUGUCAGCUACCUACUUAACAUGCAUCUCAGACUAUUUAUUGAUGCACAGGGCAUUUCAGUGACUGCUAGAUUUCCUGUUCUAGACUGUCAUCUUGCAAAAAGUAAAAUCUGUUCUCUUGCAGGCCAUGACAUGCAGUUUUGUGAGCUCCAAGAUGGUGGCUGGAACAGCUUCGUCACAUGUUGAUAUCUCCUGUGUGUUACAAAUCAUGUCAUAUUCUUUGCUUCAUUUGCUACCGGAGUGUGUUAGAGAUCUCUUUACCAGUAGUGUGGUGUACAUGUUUGCUGCUUGCAAAUAGAAUAGAUUUUAAUACAAUGACCAACAAUACCUGAAGCUUUACUAUAUUGUACAGUUUGUAAUGUAUGCCUAAGCAUGUGAUUGAUUAUGGUUAUUUGUUUCAUACACCUA
Molecule: long non-coding RNA, 2589 nt
Organism: Lolium perenne
Lineage: Eukaryota; Viridiplantae; Streptophyta; Magnoliopsida; Poales; Poaceae
Source: RefSeq, a predicted model, not a curated record